CAGCGAUCAUUCUUGCCUCACACAAACCCUUUACACUGCACUAAUCACAAAAAAGAUUCAAAAUAUAGAGAAAUGGCAACACCUUCUGUAGUACACUUAAGGCUUAUUUUUCUUGUUUUGGUGUUGACAUGCUCCAUUUACAGCACACUUGCUCAAGGCGGAGCCUCAGGAAGAGGGGUUGGUGGUGCAGGAGGAGGCGGAGGUGAACGAGGAAGCAGUGGAGCUGGCGGUGGUGGUGGAGGAGGUGGUGUGGUAGGUGGCGGCGGCAGCGCACAUGUCACUCAAACCUUCCUAAAUUGUGGAAAGUUCUCAUGUAGUGGCGGCGGCGGAAGAUAGUGUUUAUAAGCAUUUACGUUCAUUCAGUUUAUCGGAUUUAGUAAACACAGCGGAUUUAAACUGUCAAUUCCAUUGCAUAUACAUCAAAUAAAUCUUUUCUAUAGAAGGUUAACCUAGCAAAGAGCUUUAAUGUAAACAUACCAUACUAUAA
Long non-coding RNA from Musca domestica (house fly), 487 nucleotides. RefSeq lists it as uncharacterized. NCBI's taxonomy places the organism in Eukaryota, Metazoa, Arthropoda, Insecta, Diptera, Muscidae. The record is from RefSeq and is a predicted model, not a curated record. The transcript is spliced from 2 exons.